This is a long non-coding RNA of Vigna radiata var. radiata (mung bean), 382 nucleotides long. RefSeq lists it as uncharacterized. NCBI's taxonomy places the organism in Eukaryota, Viridiplantae, Streptophyta, Magnoliopsida, Fabales, Fabaceae. The record is from RefSeq and is a predicted model, not a curated record. The transcript has 3 exons.
CUGAAAGGGUUGUUCUGUGUUCUUAUGUUUGUGUUUUAUUUUGAAGAGAAAUAUAGAGGGUUUUGGAAAGAAAAAUAGAGAGAAUGAAAACCGAGAAAUAAGUUUAACUUUUGUAAUGUUUUACUUAACUUGUGUGCAGCUUGGUGUUUGGCUCGUGAUUGUUACAAAUAAUUGGUGAUUAUCAUAUCAAGUGCACACUCUUUUUAAAGGAUUGGAGAAAAUUACUACUAGUGCAGACAUUCCAAUGUUGGUUUCUGGGGACUUUAAUUCAAUUCCAAGAAGUGCUCCUCAUGCACUUCUUGCAAUAGGAAAGGUAGACCCAUCCCAUCCUGAUUUAACUGUUGACCCACUUAAUAUAUUGCGUCCUCACAACAAGUUGGUU